Molecule: ribosomal RNA, 381 nt
Filed under: uncultured bacterium
Lineage: Bacteria
Description: bacterial SSU rRNA
Rfam family: Bacterial small subunit ribosomal RNA
Source: RNAcentral
UACAGAGGAGCCAAGCGUUGUCCGGAUUGACUGGGCGUAAAGCGCACGCAGGCGGACGCGCGCGUGGGGUGUGAAAUCUGGCCGCUUAACGGCCAGGCGCCAUCCCAUACGGCACGUCUGGAGCUAUGCAGAGGUCGGUGGAAUUGCCGGUGUAGUGGUGAAAUGCGUAGAGAUCGGCAGGAACACCCAGGGGGAAACCAGCCGACUGGGCAUAUGCUGACGCUGAGGUGCGAGAGCGUGGGGAGCGAACCGGAUUAGAUACCCGGGUAGUCCACGCCGUAAACGAUGGCCACUCGGCCUUUGGGGGCGGAUACUCCGUCCUUGGGGGCCUUAGCUAACGCGGGAAGUGGCCCGCCUGGGAACUACGAGCGCAAGCUUAAA